UUCCCCUCCCCCCUCCCCUCCGCCGCCGCCUAUGGAGGGGCUGCGACCAGCCGCGAACAGGUCUCGUCGUCGUACCCGCAUCGGAAUAAAUGGAGUCCACAAUUACUUGUCAGACAUUGACUGGGACGUUCAUUUUUCAUGGUUCUUGUGAUCUAGCUGGCCGGCCGGCCCGGCAGGAUUAACGCGCUGGCAGCUGAAAGGAACUUGUACCAGCACCCCGCGUUGCCUAGUCAACACGUUGUACCAUCAGAAGAGUGGUUUUCAGUGGUUCUGCUUCUGCCAACAGCGGCUGAAUGAAGCCUAUCCUCAGGGGCGGAUCUAGAACGGGGCUGCACCCCGGGCUAAGCUGUUGAAUCACGUCCAAAACAGUCUAAUCUUGUCUCCUAAACUUCAUUUUGUUAGGCUAAACACCACAUAUGUUAAAGGGACUCCAUGGUCUCGCCUCGGGCUGCAGUCCGGGCAGCCCGGGCCCUAGAUCCGCCCCUGCCUAUCCUAAUCUUAGGUUAUGGAGUCUGUUUAGCUCAGUUGUGGAUAUUGGUGUAUGUUAAAGCUACCUGAAUUUUAGUCGUCUUCUUCGAUGCAAAUUUGGGUACACGUUUUUACCAAAAUGUAGCUACAUAUAUAGUGUGUGUUUGAUUUUUUUCAUUCUAGCUUUGGUUGGUUGUGGUUCCUCGUC
Molecule: long non-coding RNA, 676 nt
Organism: Setaria italica (foxtail millet)
Lineage: Eukaryota; Viridiplantae; Streptophyta; Magnoliopsida; Poales; Poaceae
Exons: 2
Source: RefSeq, a predicted model, not a curated record